GACGAACGCUGGCGGCGUGCUUAACACAUGCAAGUCGAGCGGUAAGGCCCUUUCGGGGGUACACGAGCGGCGAACGGGUGAGUAACACGUGGGUGACCUGCCCUCAGCUCUGGGAUAAGCCUGGGAAACCGGUCUAAUACCGGAUAUGACUCCAUGACGCAUGUUGUGGGGUGAAAGCCUUGUGCGGCUGAGGAUGGGCCCGCGGCCUAUCAGCUUGUUGGUGGGGUGAUGGCCUACCAAGGCGACGACGGUAGCCGGCCUGAGAGGGCGACCGGCCACACUGGGACUGAGACACGGCCCAGACUCCUACGGGAGGCAGCAGUGGGGAAUCUUGCGCAAUGGGCGAAAGCCUGACGCAGCGACGCCGCGUGA
RNAcentral lists this ribosomal RNA (372 nucleotides) under uncultured bacterium. Its description in RNAcentral is "bacterial SSU rRNA". It matches the Rfam family "Bacterial small subunit ribosomal RNA", at positions 28 to 404 of the family's 1533-position model. The record is from RNAcentral.